GGGCUGGGGCUCAGUGGUAGAGCGCUCGCCUAGCCUGUGUGAGGCACUGGGUUCGAUCCCCAGUACCCCA
This 70-nucleotide transfer RNA is filed under the name Marmota monax (woodchuck). RNAcentral's name for it is "tRNA.Ala". The record is from RNAcentral. Lineage: Eukaryota; Metazoa; Chordata; Mammalia; Rodentia; Sciuridae.